CCCUGGGUAGCUCAGAUGGCAAGAGCGCCAUCCAUGAAAGGUGGGAGCGCGCCGGUUCGAGUCCGGCCCCGGGGC
This 75-nucleotide transfer RNA is filed under the name Flavonifractor sp. An92. RNAcentral's name for it is "tRNA-Ser". It matches the Rfam family "tRNA". Rfam says of the family: Transfer RNA (tRNA) molecules are approximately 80 nucleotides in length. Lineage: Bacteria; Bacillati; Bacillota; Clostridia; Eubacteriales; Oscillospiraceae. The record is from RNAcentral.